Molecule: long non-coding RNA, 1781 nt
Organism: Pararge aegeria (speckled wood butterfly)
Lineage: Eukaryota; Metazoa; Arthropoda; Insecta; Lepidoptera; Nymphalidae
Exons: 2
Source: RefSeq, a predicted model, not a curated record
UUCAUUUUUAGAAAAUGUCAUUUUAUUCGUAUUUUGCGGUAAUAACCGAUUUGGUGCAGCUAGUAACUUUAAUGCUAAACAAAGCAUGAUAUAUAAGAAAAGCAAAUAAAAAUAUGUAUCCCAAAAUUUUAAUAAGAUUAUUUAAAUAAAAAAAGUAGUAUCUGUCAAAUAAGAAACGAAAUAAUGGACAGAGUGUAAUCACAAUUCGCCUUUCGAUAUUUAUUAAAGACUUGUAAAAUGUUGACUUUUCAAGUUUUGUACGACGUACUAUUGUAGUGUUAGAUAGAAACAAAUUAGGUCGAAUUCACAAUCUUAUAAAAAUAAUCAUCAUAUCAACCGAUAGACGUCCACUCCUGGACUCUUGUAGGGAGUUUCAAAUUCCACGGUUUUGCUCUGGUUGCGCGGGAUAGACCAACGCUGCGCUUACCAGUGCGGGGUCGACAUUCCUUCCUUAACGUGCAUCCGUUCUCCGAGCUAUGUGCCCCGUUCAUUGCCACUUUUUUUUCGCGACUCGUUGAGCUAUGUCAGUAACUCUGGUUACUUAUACGGAGCUCUUAUUUUUCGGAUUUGAUCACCGAGAGAUACUCCGAGCAUAAAUCUCUCCGUCGCCAUAAAAAAUGUAUUUUCCUAAUACUAAGCUAAUUUUUGUAUAGUAAUGCCCCCAUAUACCAAAUUUGAACAAAUUUUGAUGUUUUUCAAGUAAAACUUUCGGAACUCAAAUAGAACCAUAGAAGGCACUUUAAAUACGUAUAAACAAUCAAAAUAUAUCACAGUGAGUUGAUUGCGAUUAGUAAAAACCUUUUGUUAAUAGAAGAUUGUGUAUUCGACUCCUGUGACGUUGAGAAUGGGACGUAGGUCGAUUUCAAAAUUGUAGGAAUUGUAGCAAAACCUUUUACAGCAUAAAAGCUUAGUACACCGUUUGCAUUUGUACGGGUCGAUUUUUAAUAAAGGUAAUUUUAAACUCAUAGUUAGCUUCAUAGUUAAACAUUUCUAUACAGUUCGCUCUUUUGUCUUUGAAUUCGUCAUUUUCACGAAGUUAUAAGGAUAAACUUUAAAUAGUUUUAUUUUGCGAUUUGCGUUUCUGUUUCCGCAGUACAGAUGUAAAAAAGUUCAAUUCCAAAGGAAUGUCGUGCAAUGUAUUUAUUGUACUGCUAUAAUAAUAAUAUACUAACACACAACAUGGCCUAGUGAAUAAAUUAGCAUACGUUAUCAAGUCUACGCUCGCUCAAGAGCUAGCAUGCAACUGCGCAACUGGAAGGAAUACAGUUGCGAUGAGCGGCGUCUUAAGACUAUUAAUGUUACUAAAUGUCAAUAAGAUAUCUACCAUUAUUAAUUUCUUUAGUGUCCUUUAGAAUUACCAUCUUAUUCUUCUUCGUCGUUUUCUUCAUUACUAAAGGUCUAUAGCUACCGUAAUAGGGAGGCGAUUUGAGCGACGGUCAAACCACCGACUAGGCGAUCGGCCGCGUGGUAUUCACGUGGCGUCCUGGCAGGCGUCGGGCAAAGUGACGAAAGUAGCGUAGAAUAUUUUUGUAACACAAGGUACAAAACCUGGUGUCGAUACGUAGCUGAUUCAGGAUAGAUAGUUAUUUUUCUAUUAACGAUCAAUGGUAUACUUAGCAUGAAUCCGACAGAACAUUUUUAAAGAUCUUUUUUCACUGUAAAAGAAAAAUCGAUUCGUCAUAAUGUAAACGGAGUUAAAUUUUUUUUCUUUAACCUAUAUCCCUAUUAUCUAUGCGUUUCGAAUAAAUUAACUAACUUAAAGUUAUUGUGUAAUCGAAAUA